ACCUGAGAGGCCGGCUCGCCUGGGGCUCGGCCGGGAGAAAAGGCGUGCGGGGCACCGCCCCUCCGCGAAGGCCCGGGGGGAGCUCGCCCUCCGCCCAGCCCGGAGGCCCGAACCCCGACCCCAUGCUCAGCGCCAGCUUCUGCCCCGAGGCCGCGCCGGCCGCCCGUCUUCCAGAGAGAUGGCGGCGCCGGCGGCCGCGGGCCUGAUGCUGCUGCUGCUGCUGCUGGGCCCGGCGAGGACCGCGCACCGGCUCUGCUCGCCCACCGUGCAGUACCGGGACUGCUGGAUCCGCCGCUUCCCGGGGCUGCUGCUGGACCUGGAGGAGUCGCAGAGGCUGGGCGCCCGGUUCCUCAAGUACUACUGGGAGAACACCGGCCAGAAGUGCAGUCGGAGCUGCUGCCUCCGGAAGGACGUUUCCUGCAACAUGGCGGUCUUCUUCCAUGAUCCCAUCCACGACAACCUCAACUGCCUCCACGUCCACUGCCCAAGCCUGGAGAGCUGCAUCCUGGAGCAGCGGACCAGUGCCAUUCUGUACAACAUAACGGCAGGUAUAGAUCCAGAUCUGCUGGUUUUUGAGCAGUCACCUCCGGCGUAUCUAAAUACCCGCUCCUCAUCUGACAGCAGGGACACACUACGGAUUCUAAAAGCCAUGAAUCUAGACAACGAAGGGCCAUUUGAAGACACAAAAAACCGCAUGCUGCCGUCAACAGAGGCCCUGCCCACACAUGGAGAUUUGGGUGCAAACACAAACCUCAGGGAAUUAAGCACAGAUUUGGGGAUAAGGUUCAUUUCCCCAAAUGUCUCUACCGCCAAGGUCAGCGCCGUGUCACGCACAGAUUUCACCCCCAAUCUAGGGAACAAGACCACACCUUUCUUUGGGCCCUUAGGCACGAAACUCUCUCAGGUGCCCAUCCCAUCCCGAUUCAACAGCAGCAAACAAUUACUCAACAGAACGAAAGGGUCCCACAGCGGAAACCACACAUCUGGGAACGAAGAGCCGCAGGACACGGCUCCUCUGACUGCAGAGGCCUGGCUGGCUUCUGUGGCCCUGGGUGCCGCCCUCGUCUGCCUCGGCUGCUGGGUGGUCAUCUGGGUGUCCAGAAGCCACUGGAAGGAGCAGGAGCAGGACCAGUACCAACUGGGGCAGCAGAGAUUAGAGUCCGGGCAGAGGGAGAAGAAUGAUACACUGAAGGGGAGCUCUUAGAUGGAGUGAGGCAAGGACCGUUCAGGAGUCAUUUUCAGCUUUCUAUAGGAAAAGGGCAGCUUGGUUAGAAAAUUCAGCUACUCUGACGUACCCAAUCCUACCAGAAGGACAAGCCUGCUAAAACUGAUUUCCAUUUUCUGAACCGAGGGAAGGAAGUGGGGAGGGGGAGAGGCUGGGUGUGGGCAUACCUGUGAUCCCAGCACUCAGGAGGCAGGAGGAUCAGAAGUUCAAGGUCAGUCUCAGCUACAUAGUAAGUUCAAGACCAGUUUGAACCAUAAGAAAGGUGUGGAAGCAGACAGACAAAGGAGGAGGGCACACAGGUGGUCUGGUUUCAAGGCCAGUCCGCAAACUCGGUUUUUCAUUCUAUUUAAUACACAUUAAAACAAGAGCAUUGUGGCAUCAUUAUGUUCAUUUCCUGGUCAAGUUGUAACCUGGUAAUAAAACUGCUGAGUGCUUUGCACAUAGUCACUGACCUACAAGCAAACACUUCCUGGUUUUUAUGUGCAGUUGAUUCUUUCUUGAUCCCGACCGUACCAAGGACAGUCUCUGGGCUGAGAUGACAGGACCGAGGUCUUUGGGUUCUCUGGGUUGUUUCUGCUGAUAAAGCAUGAAGAUUUUCAUUCCAUCUCCCAUGUGGAUGCCAUGUCCUCAUGUGUGUAGGUAACUCUGUCUGGUUCUUUCUUCUUUUGCAGAGCUGGGAUCAAACCCAGGGCUUCCUGCCUGCUGGGCACCUGCACCUUCCAGCUAAGGGGCACCCCCAACCCUACUGUCCUUUAUUCUACUUGUUUAUUGGGGUGGCUACACAGGAAUAUAUGCCAAGGUGCCUGUAUUGGAGGUCAGAGAACAACUUGAAGGAGUCAGCUCUCUCCUUCCAUCCUUUGGAGCCUGGGGAUUAAACUCCGGUCACCAGGCUUGGCAGCAAGCACCUUUACUCCUAAACCACCUUGCUGACCCCCCACCCUCUUCUUUUCUGAAGCAGGGUCUCUUAUAACCUAGUCUGGCCCUCAAACUUGCUCUGUAGCUAUGUUGGCCUUGAACUUCUGACCCUCCUGCCUCCACCUCCCGAGUGCUGGGAUUACAGGCGUGCACCAUGCCUGGUUUAUGCGGUGCUGGGGGUCAAACCCACGGCUUCUGGCAUGGUAGACAAGCACUGUACCACCUGAGCCAUGCUCUCAGCUCCCUUUUAUACCACUUAGUCCCUAACUCUUACACUCAGACUCUAUAAUACAGAAUACUGUAUGUAAUUCAAGUCUCCAAUGGCCUUAAACUUUAGGGCUUUCAUCUCAGGAUGAAGACAACCAGGAGGGAUGAAGAAUCACAAGGAACUCCUACACAAGACUGGGUAGGAGAGCACUGUCUUCAGGUGCACGAGGCUCCAAGUUGUUCUCAACAUGAUAACUGGAGAGGCACCGGCACCAGACCAGUCAAGAAGCAAAUGGAGCGGCUACAAAGACCACUGAGCUCCUGCCACUCCUGACUGCGGCCUGAAUCCUCAGGUCAGCUGCGGUGGCCCACCUGCAAGGAUGGUGUACCCCAAGGCCAUCCUUACUCCACCCAACUGUAGGUUUGGUGUUUGCAAAAGCGCCCCAGGCAAGGGGAACCCAGGGCUCAGGAAAACACCACUUACCCAGCUACACUUCAUGACAGGGCAGAGACAGGCUGACACGCCCAGGGGGAGAAGCAGGCUCCCAGUGACACACCUCAGGGGUCACUCCACCCCCUUAUCUGGCCACACCCCCUCACAGACUCUGUGUGUACCAGCUACACAGACUAUUCCCAUUCAUGACCAAAGGAUCUGAGGGUUUUGGGGGGUGGUUUUCUGAGACAGGGUCUUUUCUGAGAUGAGGCCCACACUAGCCUCUCGACCUUGCGAGUGCUAGGAUUACAGGUAUGGCCACCACACCUGGCUGUCCGAGGUGUUUACUGUGGCUCCAUCAUGGAAGUGUGGCUGCCAGGUUCCUGAUCUCAGCUGCCAAAUGGACCCAUACCAUGUGGCAGAGCCCUACCCAGAGCAUGGUCAGGGUCAGGUCCUUUGGGACUAGCUCCUGCCUUAAAGACUUCUAUCAGGUGUGACACAGGCCAAGGGGAAAGGCAAGGUCAGGUUACUUCAGUCAAGGUGCCCAUGCUUUGAUCUGACGCUACUUGACGUACACCUGGCCCAUUCCCCAAUCCAUCCACCUCAGUGCUAUGUCCAGAGUGUUCCCUGCAACCCUUUCCUGGGUUCCUUCACUCCACAGGAGUCUUUGGUGGUAUGACCUAAAACUUUUAAGGAGGCUGGAGAUGGCUCGAUGGUUAAGCACACAUACUGCUCUUACAGAAACCCACUCAGUUCCCAGCACCCAUGUCAAGUGGAUUAUAACCACCUCUAACUCCAGCCUCAGGAGGAUCUGAUGCUUCUAGCCUCUUAGAGCACCUGCACUCGUGCACACAUUCACAUGCCAAUGAGCACACACAAUUAAAAAUAAACUUUUAAAGCAAACAAACUUUUUGUUUGUUUUUUGAAAUAGGUCUCACUAUGUAGACCAGGCUGACCUGGAACACCUGUCUGGGGACUACAAGUGUGCACACCACUCCCAGUCUAAAUGCUUUCUUAGGAGAUCUGGGUUCAGGUUCCGCCCUUCCCCAAAGCUUGCAUCGGGAGCAGGGUCUGGAGGGUGCUUUUCUGGGAGGCACUGUUUUCCCACACGUACUCUGGCAGGGAGGGUGGGGAUGAGCAAGCAGCUCACACCAGGGCCCAGGGCCCAGAAAGCCCCAAGGCAGCCCAGGCUGGCCUCCAGCUCACCAUCCCUUGCCUCUCUCAGACCCUGCAGGUGUUUCUCAAAAACGUGCUGUACAUGUGAUUAAAAAUGUCAUUUAUAUCUUUGGCUUUUCGUUCACGACUCUACGCAGUGGAACUCGACCCCCCACCCCGUCUUCUUCUAUACUCCAGGCUCUGAUUGUUCUGUACAAUCGGUUUUGGCCCCACUACCGCCAAAGCCUACUUUUGAUUUCAUACAAUGUUUAGAUACUGCAGAUCCAUUUGAAACUACUGAACCGGGACUGGGAGACAUGGCUCAGGCACAGUAUGCGGAGCCUGGGGGAAAGCCAUGGGUUCAAGCUCCAACACCGCGACCCCUCUCCACACGGAACUGGCAGGUAAACUUGGGGUAGUGCUCCAGUGUCAUUCCAGCGGAAUUCCAGGUCCUCACACCUUGUCUCCCUCCUGAGCUAUGGCCGCUGGGGG
This is an RNA transcript of Nannospalax galili (Upper Galilee mountains blind mole rat), 4427 nucleotides long. It is a transcript of the gene named MANSC domain containing 4, with no coding region annotated. The record is from RefSeq and is a predicted model, not a curated record. The transcript is spliced from 4 exons. Lineage: Eukaryota; Metazoa; Chordata; Mammalia; Rodentia; Spalacidae.